GCUAAACUACUUCCCAUGUCCUGCCCACCAUGACUGUCCUCUGACUCUGUGAUCUGCGGACAGGAGGAACACAUUGUAUCUGUGAGUCGGGAUGGGACCUUGAAAGUGUGGGACCGUCAGGGUGUGGAGCUGACCAGCAUCCCUGCCCAUUCCGGACCCAUUAGCCAGUGUGCGGCUGCUCUGGAACCCCGUCCAGCUGGACAGCCUGGAUCAGAGCUUCUGGUGGUGACUGUUGGACUGGAUGGGGCCACAAAGCUGUGGCAUCCCCUGUUGGUGUGCCAAAUACAUACCCUGCAGGGACACAGUGGUCCAGUCACAGCUGCUGCUGCUUCAGAGGCCUCAGGCCUCCUGCUGACCUCAGACAAUAGCUCUGUACGACUCUGGCAGAUCCCUAAGGAAGCAGAUGAUACCUGCAAACCU
This 420-nucleotide long non-coding RNA is filed under the name Rattus norvegicus (Norway rat). RNAcentral describes it as "long non-coding RNA NONRATT010823". The record is from RNAcentral. Lineage: Eukaryota; Metazoa; Chordata; Mammalia; Rodentia; Muridae.